ACUCAAAUGAAUUGACGGGGGCCCGCACAAGCGGUGGAGCAUGUGGUUUAAUUCGACGCAACGCGAACAACCUUACCUGGGCUUGAACUACUAGUAGUAGUACUCUGGAAACAGAGGACGAACCGUAAAGUCGGUUGCUAGCAGAGGUGCUGCAUGGCUGUCGUCAGCUCGUGUCGUGAGAUGUUGGGUUAAGUCCCGCAACGAGCGCAACCCUUACCCUAUGUUGCCACGUCCGUAAAGGACAGCACUCUUAGGGAACCGCCUCGGACAACGGGGAGGAAGGUGGGGAUGACGUCAAGUCACCAUGGCCUUUAUGUCCAGGGCUACACACGUGCUACAAUGGCCGGUACAACGAGCAGCAAAUCCGCAAGGAGGAGCAAAUCUCUUAAAGCCGGCCCCAGUUCAGAUUGUGGGCUGCAAUUCGCCCACAUGAAGGUGGAAUCGCUAGUAAUCGGAGAUCAGCUGGCUCCGGUGAAUACGUUCCCGGGCCUUGUACACACCGCCCGU
RNAcentral lists this ribosomal RNA (507 nucleotides) under uncultured bacterium. RNAcentral describes it as "partial 16S ribosomal RNA". It matches the Rfam family "Bacterial small subunit ribosomal RNA", at positions 899 to 1397 of the family's 1533-position model. The record is from RNAcentral.